RNAcentral lists this ribosomal RNA (609 nucleotides) under uncultured bacterium. RNAcentral's name for it is "bacterial SSU rRNA". It matches the Rfam family "Bacterial small subunit ribosomal RNA", at positions 84 to 731 of the family's 1533-position model. The record is from RNAcentral.
AACUGUGCUGAGUGGCGGACGGGUGAGUAACGCGUGGGUACCUGCCCUGUACAGGGGGAUAACAAUCAGAAAUGACUGCUAAUACCGCAUAAGACCGCAUGGUAAAAACUCCGGUGGUACAGGAUGGACCCGCGUCUGAUUAGCUGGUUGGUGAGGUAACGGCUCACCAAGGCGACGAUCAGUAGCCGGCUUGAGAGAGUGAACGGCCACAUUGGGACUGAGACACGGCCCAAACUCCUACGGGAGGCAGCAGUGGGGAAUAUUGCACAAUGGGGGGAACCCCGAUGCAGCGACGCCGCGUGAGGAAGAAGUAUCUCGGUAUGUAAACUCUAUCAGCAGGGAAGAAAAUGACGGUACCUGACUAAGAAGCCCCGGCUAACUACGUGCCAGCAGCCGCGGUAAUACGUAGGGGGCAAGCGUUAUCCGGAAUUACUGGGUGUAAAGGGCGCGUAGGUGGUAUGGCAAGUCAGAAGUGAAAACCCAGGGCUUAACUUGGGACUGCUUUUGAAACUGUCAGACUGGAGUGCAGGAGAGGUAAGCGGAAUUCCUAGUGUAGCGGUGAAAUGCGUAGAUAUUAGGAGGAACAUCAGUGGCGAAGGCGGCUUACUG